UGUUGCAGUUAAAAAGCUCGUAGUUGAACUUCAGACCUGGCUGGGCGGUCUGCCUAACGGUAUGUACUGUCCGGCUGGGUCUUACCUCUUGGUGAGCCGGCAUGCCCUUCACUGGGUGUGUCGGGGAACCAGGACUUUUACCUUGAGAAAAUUAGAGUGUUCAAAGCAGGCUUAUGCCCGAAUACAUUAGCAUGGAAUAAUAAAAUAGGACGUGCGGUUCUAUUUAGUUGGUUUCUAGAGUCGCCGUAAUGAUUAAUAGGGAUAGUUGGGGGCAUUAGUAUUCCGUUGCUAGAGGUGAAAUUCUUGGAUUUACGGAAGACUAACUAUUGCGAAAGCAUUUGCCACCGAUGUUUUCAUUAAUCAAGAACGAAGGUUAGGGGAUCGAAAACGAUCAGAUACCGUUGUAGUCUUAACAGUAAACUAUGCCGAC
This 430-nucleotide ribosomal RNA is filed under the name uncultured eukaryote. RNAcentral describes it as "SSU rRNA". It matches the Rfam family "Eukaryotic small subunit ribosomal RNA", at positions 611 to 1046 of the family's 1831-position model. The record is from RNAcentral.